CAAUAGCGUAUAUUAAAGUUGUUGCAGUUAAAAAGCUCGUAGUUGGAUUUGUGGUGUAUGGUGUGUUCCGGGCACUUGUUGUCUGAGUAACUUGCCAUUGCCAUCCUUGGGUGAAACCUGUGUGGCAUUAGGUUGUCGUGCAGGGGAUGCCCAUCGUUUACUGUGAAAAAAUUAGAGUGUUCAAAGCAGGCUUAUGCCGUUGAAUAUAUUAGCAUGGAAUAAUAAGAUAGGACUUUUUUGCUAUUUUGUUGGUUUGCGCGAGAAGGUAAUGAUUAAUAGGGAUAGUUGGGGGUAUUCGUAUUCCAUUGUCAGAGGUGAAAUUCUUGGAUUUUUGGAAGACGAACUACUGCGAAAGCAUUUACCAAGGAUGUUUUCAUUAA
This 380-nucleotide ribosomal RNA is filed under the name uncultured eukaryote. RNAcentral describes it as "partial 18S ribosomal RNA". It matches the Rfam family "Eukaryotic small subunit ribosomal RNA", at positions 592 to 976 of the family's 1831-position model. The record is from RNAcentral.